GGUCCAGACUCCUACGGGAGGCAGCAGUAGGGAAUCUUCCGCAAUGGGCGAAAGCCUGACGGAGCAACGCCGCGUGAGUGAUGAAGGUCUUCGGAUCGUAAAACUCUGUUAUUAGGGAAGAACAUACAUGUAAGUAACUAUGCACGUCUUGACGGUACCUAAUCAGAAAGCCACGGCUAACUACGUGCCAGCAGCCGCGGUAAUACGUAGGUGGCAAGCGUUAUCCGGAAUUAUUGGGCGUAAAGCGCGCG
RNAcentral lists this ribosomal RNA (251 nucleotides) under Staphylococcus haemolyticus. RNAcentral describes it as "partial 16S ribosomal RNA". It matches the Rfam family "Bacterial small subunit ribosomal RNA", at positions 328 to 571 of the family's 1533-position model. Lineage: Bacteria; Bacillati; Bacillota; Bacilli; Caryophanales; Staphylococcaceae. The record is from RNAcentral.